CGCGGGGUGGAGCAGCCUGGUAGCUCGUUGGGCCCAUAACCCAAAGGUCGGAGGUUCAAAUCCUCCCCCCGCUACCA
Molecule: transfer RNA, 77 nt
Filed under: Pseudomonadota bacterium
Lineage: Bacteria; Pseudomonadati; Pseudomonadota
Also listed under: 2 other names
Description: tRNA-Met
Rfam family: tRNA
About the family: Transfer RNA (tRNA) molecules are approximately 80 nucleotides in length. Their secondary structure includes four short double-helical elements and three loops (D, anti-codon, and T loops).
Source: RNAcentral